Molecule: long non-coding RNA, 5468 nt
Organism: Triticum dicoccoides
Lineage: Eukaryota; Viridiplantae; Streptophyta; Magnoliopsida; Poales; Poaceae
Exons: 3
Source: RefSeq, a predicted model, not a curated record
CGACCUCUCCCUUCCUGUCCAGCUUCCUCCAUGGUUGCUCUACUUCAACACGACAUGGACGGAUUCCACAUCCACCGACCCACUGACGCCAUGGACGGAGGUCCAACCCUUCAGCAGCAGCAGGCCGCCAUUUUCAUUGAUUUGAGGAAUUCCUGCAAGUGAUUGAUGGUGUGCAGGCCAUGGAGGGCUUCAACCCAUCAAGGUACACUGCUCCAAACCCCCUCUGUUCGAUUAGAUUGGACCAAAUCCAUUGAUUUCUUCUUCCAUUCUCAUCUUGUUUGCCCGAGGAGACCAACUGAAUUCAUGGACUAUAUUAUUAUUUUUGGUCUUGUGAAUGCUGGCCAAAUUCCUUGAUUUUAUUUGAUUCGGUUCGAUUUCGCAGGCGUGGUUCCUAUCUUGCUCUCUUAUUUUUCUUCAUACAGGGCCGAUCAAUUGUCACGGUGUCCUUAAGCACAAUUCACAAGCUUCCCCGUUAUCUCUGGGUUAUAGAUUUGUUGCACUCAAUGGAAACUGGGAGCAUCACUCUCCUUGACUGGAACCAGUGGCCAGAUUAUAGAUCACACAAGCUGUUGGUGAGCUUUUCCUUUUGAUUUCUAUAUCUCUGGGUUAUAGAUCAUCUCCUACUUGCUAGAAUUUAUUUUCUGUGCCUCUGAUAACUCCAUGUUCUGUAUGUUAUUAAAGUUUUUGUCUGAAUAUUGUGUCCGAGCAAGCACUGUGGGACAUCGAUCUUUGCAGAUCCAGUCAUGUCAACAUACCCAUAGGAUGCCUUUGAAUUUUAUCUGUGCCAGCAGACCAUACAGAUUUAAUUUUGUAGGUUCGGUGAUACAUCUGCUCUCAUGGCAUGCAAAACAGCAACCUUCUCCUUCUUUAUAUUGUGAUUUUAAAAAUUAGCAUUGGUUUGCGGAACCCCUGGAAUAAUUGAAGUGGGGUUAAAGGGAGAAGUUCGUUGUCUGACCAGUUCUGAAUAUUUUACAGUCUAAUGGCCUUUAGAAUUCAUGCAUUUUUACUACCUCCUCCAAAUUUGCUACAUUGUAGUAAUAAGUUAAAAGGAGCUACUAUUUGUUCUUAGAGGUUAGCAUAGCAAGAUUAACUGGUGGAUGACCCGAUGCUUAUUUCCUCUUGCUUGCUAUAUGUCAUGAUUCAUGACCUCCAUAUGUUCAAAUCACGACUCGGGGGCAUCAGUUAGUGGCGCAUAUACUCCGCCGUUGUGAUUCCUCGAAUGAUGCUCAUUUAGUCAUUUUAUAGAUUUAGAUAUCGAUUUUUAAGCCCUAUGCUCCUUCCAUUUUAGGAUCUGCUAAUUUUCAUUCUACUAUGUGUAGCGCUGCUCACAUGAAACCCAUCACUCAUUUGCACAUAGGUUAAAGAUGGAGAUAAAGACAGUCUUUUGUGACCAAGGGGUGGAAUUCUUUUCAGCUUACAGAAACCUUCUUACCAGCAUCGCUUCUUGCCGACGCACUAAUCUUUAAAAACGAACUGAUAGCUACAUGAUUUUACUUUGUUUUCCUUGGUUUAAAUCAUGUAUAUAGUGUAGUGUCUGCUUUUUGACAAUUUCUUAUUCACCUGUAUGCUUUCUUUUGCAAGUUCAUUCCCAAUCUCUAAUAGCCAAUUAAUGACUGCAUGAUCUGGUUCUGCUUUAGUGCCCUCAAACUGUACUUUCAGUCAGAUGCCCAUUGAAUAAUGAUUGCUUAAUCUUCCUAUCCUUUUCCUUUGAAAUUGUGCUUCACAAAUAGUAGUCAAACAAGACUACCAUUUACUCAGGCCAUGCUUUCAAUCCCAUGCCUAUUGACUAAUGAUUGCUUCUUCAGGCAUGGAAAUCCAUGUGCUGACGGUGCUUGCAAAUAUUUUCAGCCAUGGAAUAUGUGAUGUAAGGUGCAGGGGAGUAUGCAUGUCCCCAUUGGCAGAGAUCCCUGCUUUUGAGAUUUUUCCGUUUAAAAUUCAGAUAUGUCGAGUUAAGUAAAAUUCAGUGGUGAAGAAAGUCUUACGAUGUACAAUUAUUUUAGUGUAAAUCUCUGUUGGAAAAAAAAUCAGUUAGUAAAGAAUGAAUACAUCAUCCUUUUUGUUAUAACAAUGUUUAUGAUACUUUGUUGUAGAGAACAAAGGGGUUGUAAGAUAUAUGGCAUAACAUGAUAAAAAACAGUGAAAUCUUAGGUAAAGAGGUGAGACUCACAUAUAUGUAAACUUAUUUUCUUCCCUGUAGAACAAUAGCUUUUGUUAGCUAAAGAGGUUAGACUCACAUGAGUUUCCUUUUGGCCAGAUUUUAAUGAUUUAUAUUAUGCUGUGUUGUUCUCUUAGAUAUGCUUGCUGCUCCGGUAUCAAGUGAAGAUCUUGGUUCAAUAUGCUUGUCCACCGCCUGAAGUAUUUGGAUGAACAGUAUGUCAAUGUCAACCUACAUGAUGAUGACUUUUUCUACGCCGAGCAUUGUGAUCAAGGUAUUUCUUUCUGCACACAGAAAUUAAAAUGUAUAGAUGGAUGAAAAUGGAACAUAAAUUAAAAUGUUAUAGCUUGGAAAACACUUGUAUGCACUAAUAGUUUCUACUGGCUACCUCCAUAAGUAAAGAACAAACCUUGGUUGAUAUGAUAAUAAAUUGUUGGAUGACAAAAACCAAUAACUGGGAUCCGUUGGAACAAGAAACUUCAACUUGUAAUGCACAUCCGCCAUCAAUUGAUAAUAAAUUGUUUAGUCUUUAUGCCUGAGCAUUACGUUUAUGUAAAUUAUAUCAUUAGGUAUAAUUUUUUGCCUACAAACAUGCUCUGAACUGAGAUGUGUCCAUCUGCCUACAACACCAAGAUCCAUAGAGCAGACAGGCCAGAAGAAAUAAGAUUGCCCUUUUUCCGGAGAAAGAAAAUGAAUUGCGCUAAGUUGCAAUGAUAUGUUGAUGGGAGAAACUAUUCAUGACAAGUAUCUCAAAUAUCCCAAAUGUUAGUGUAGUUACACGUAUUUCUUAGACCGUUGUUUAUAUGUUUGUAAUGUUAUAUGUUAAGAUAUCGCAAUGGUGGGUUGCAUAUUUUUCACGUGUAAGUUUAAUUUGCAUGUUCGACCAUUAGCGUCACAAUACUUAUAUAUAGCACAUAAUCUUUGUGAAUAGAGGUAUGCUAAAAGCUAAGGAGAGGAGAGGGCUUAUAUCUUUGUGAAUGCAUCCAUGUAGCUAGGCGAUUAACGGAGAGUCGGGUAGAAGCAUGUUGAUGAUAUAGAAUAGUCACAAGUAUACCGUUUAUUUAACAACAGUGCAUAGUUAGCAUGUAUCUUAUACUCCCUCCGUAAACUAAUAUAAGAGCGUUUAGAAUACUAAAUUAGUGAUCUAAACGCUCUUAUAUUAGUUUACAGAGGGAGUAAUAUAUAUUAUCUUACUUUUGUUGACAUCUUUUGAGAAAUUUAGUCACAACGAUUCAAGAGCUUGUUAUGUAACUUUGUAUGCAUAUGUCAAAGAAAAAAAUCCCUGUUGUGGUGUGUCCAUUAUGAUUAUCCUUAUACAGUGGGCACCACUACUUGCUGUCCGGAUAAGCUUACUCCUUAAUACUACUCUACAUUUAGGAAUGCAGUGAGUAUGUGGUGUUUUUUUCUGAUGUGCAGAGUGGUGCAGUUGGAUAGUUGUUCAAGAUAAUUUUGCCUGAAGUUUUGAUAUAUUUUUAUAUUUUGAUAUAAUGUGAACUGCCCAAAAAAUAGACAAAUAGGAAAAUUAUAUGGUCAUUGGAUGAUCUGGUUAAUUGUCAUUCAAAGACAUGAGAUCGAAAGAAUGUUUCCUUGAUGUCCACUUUUAAUGAGCUAAUAAUAAUUAUCUUUUGGCCUUGUUUUAGUUGAACCGUGCAUUGCGCAUUGCAUUCAAGGUUAUUAAUUGUUUGGGAUGAACAUUCAAUUUCUUUUCAUGUCAUUUCUUGAUGAUUAGUUCCAUUGACACAAAUAGUUCCCGAAUGUUAAUAAUGGCCACUUGGGAAUUCCAAUGUGUGCUUUCAGAUGUAUGUAUCUAACUUUGGAGUCCAUUCAUGCAUAUUCAGCAUGUUUCUGCCGCGCUCCGCAUCUCACCGGUGGCCUCUGUAAGAUGUUGUGCUCUUAUAGAAUUUAGAGCAGCGGCCUUUUACAACGAAUACUGCAUAACAUGGUGUUGUCCAGUGGGAUGUGGAAUUUUUUGUUUGAUUCAUUUACUAUCCUUGGUGCUAAUUUACAUAUCUUAGACUCCUUUGCUUUGUUUCAGCAGUAGAAUAUACAAGAUAGGCAAAUACUUCUAAGUUUUUUGUGAAAUUCUGAUCCACUGGUGAUUUUUUCUUUUCUUAAAAAAGUGUUGGGGGUGCUAAAUAACUAUGGGCUCAGGCUCAAGGCCAUACUUGUUAUUGCCAAUGGGUUAUUGCUAUGUAUUUUUACAUGCCGGCGGUUCGAAGUUGAUAAUGAUUUCUGCAUGUCUACACAUAGUUUAUUCAUGCCACUGGAAAAAGCACCAACAAUGUUGUGUGCAGAGAUGUCUUGGAGGGACAACACAGGUUUGUUUUCCAUACAUGCCAAUCCACCUUAUUAUAUUAGGACAUAUUACACAUCUCCUUUAAUAUAUUUUUCUGAUUUAUGUGCAUAUUAUGCAUACAAUGAUGAGCUGUUCUGUUAGGAUAAUUUCAAUUAAGGAGCUUUACUAAAUAAUAGUACAACGAUGUACUGAAGGAGGCUUUGCAACUAGCAAGGUACUCUGUUUACAAUCUGAUUGUGAUAUGUCUUAAUAGAUGUGUGGCUGUUCUGUUCUCUCAGACAAUAUAAAGCAUGGUUCUAUAUGCCCUGCUAAUUUUGUAACUUCCAAUGUUUUGUGGAGCCUUUCACGUUUGCACUAGUGUAACCGUGUAACCUUGCACGUAUGCUACAGUAGGGCAGAGUUGGUGUAGCAUCAUUAGUUUCUUUGUUGAUAUAUUAACAAGUUAUCCUGUCCAAUUUCUAGAAUGUUUGGCACCCUGUUCGCGUGCAAGAUUUACUAGGAGCGCCCUCUUCCUUGACACAGCGAGCAUCGAACAGGGGCGCUCCCAGGGGAUGCAUGGCCAUCAGGCGCAUCUCCUUCGUUUGGCCGCCGCUUCCCUUUGACAUCAGCUAAGUGAACAGCAAACGCGGCACCACAUCAUUCACUUUCCUACCAUAGUUUGACAGCUGAUGCCGGUGCUUCGCUCCACUACUCCAUCAUAGCAUGUAAAAAUGUUUAAAUUCAGAAAUAACAUUUUGCCUUCUACACUUGCACUGUUUGGGUUAGUAAAAAUGUAACUAAGCUCAGUGGAUGGUGUUAUUUGAAGCCAGAUUAUAGGAUUUUUCCUCGAUCUAGAAUUUGGUAUGAUGUAUAACCAUCAGUUCAAAAAUGUACAACCAUCAGUUCAUUAGAUGAUUCCUUUAUGUUAUUCCAAAGGCUUAGCAAUGAAUAGCCUGUUUUCUCUUUCUUUUUUUCUAAGAGGGAAUAAACACUAGUAGAAAAGGGGGUAAUGGUCCGGGUCAGCCCAUUAGUCCUGUU